Cinara cedri is the source of this 1290-nucleotide non-coding RNA. The record is from the annotation of a GenBank genome assembly. NCBI's taxonomy places the organism in Eukaryota, Metazoa, Arthropoda, Insecta, Hemiptera, Aphididae.
GUCAAAGUGUUAUUACAGAUUAUCUAUUUUCUGAACAUCAAAUUAUUAAUUUUUGUCCCGUUUUGGACUUAUUCUGGCCUACUGUGCAACGAUGAUGCCAUUCAGUCCUUGGGGUGAAAGUCUACUAUGUAAUGAUAAUAUAACACAGAAACUAGUGGGUUCAAACUGAGGAGCCGAUUCCUCCACACUGAGAACCUCUACCAUUGCACUUGUGUACUCUGUAGCGAAAUAUUAUGUGCCUGUUUGGAUAAACAGUACACAUGUGAAACGGAUUGAUUCACAGCUCAAUCAUAGCAUGCGCACGAUAUCAGGAACAUUCAAAUUGACCUCUGUUCAAUGGUUACCGGUUUUAUACAAUAUCGUUAGAACCGCUCUACGCCACAAACAGUCACUCCUAAAAUUACGAAGGAAAUGUAAUUCUAACCCCUCAAUACGUAUUCACUGGUACGGCAACAUUCUCAUAGGCGCACAAAGGCUCAAAUCAAGGAAACCACCCUGGAAUACCGCCAUAGAAUUCGAAAUCUCUCGUUUUAAUAUUCUAAACGCUUGACGGGGAGAUUGGGUAGCACCACAGCCGGAAAAACUAAUGUAAAGUCGGCAGUUAUCAAAACUUUAAUCGAAAGGGGCCAUCCUUAAUCGAAUCAUGACGGGACACGGAAAAUGUGGAUACCUGAUGCACAAUGGCGUCUAACCUCAGCUCAAGAUUGUGACUGUGGCCCAUAUAAUCAGACUAUUUUACACAUCAUAAGCGAGUACUCAAAUCAUAAAUUCAACGGAGCACUUAAGGACUUUGCCAACGCAACUCCAUACGUUAUCGAAUGGAUACGACAUUAAGAUAUUAAUCUAUGAUUAUGAUUAUUGUGUGUUAUUUAUAAUGUAUAAUAUGUAACAUCAUUGCUGAUCUCUCCUACUUAUGUAUUAAUUUUUUAUGUUUUCUAGCCAUACGAAUAAAUAAAAUAAAUUAUUAUCAAUUUAUGUGUCAUUAUUAUCUACCUUUGUGGUCCGGUUGAGUUAUCAAUUUCAGAGAAUAUUUAACUACCUACUACCCAGUAGAGUAAGAAGUACCUAACCGUAAUCCGUACUCGUGUCUUAUAUACCUGAAUUACUACAUACUGCUACUCUGUGCUUUCACUUUUACUAUAGGUACCGAAUAAUUUUACACGUAUGUUCCGCUGGCAAUAUUUGAUAAGAAUCGCCAGUCCCCAGUGGUUCCCAAUUUUGUAUACAAUGUUGCCUAUUGAAUUCCUGAAAUUGGACUAUUAAUGGUUAAAGAAAUUGUCUAUCCAGCAC